GCAUCGGUGGUUCAGUGGUAGAAUGUUCGCCAGCCACGCGGGCGGGCCGGGUUCGAUUCCUGGCCGAUGCA
Molecule: transfer RNA, 71 nt
Filed under: Cordylochernes scorpioides
Lineage: Eukaryota; Metazoa; Arthropoda; Arachnida; Pseudoscorpiones; Chernetidae
Description: tRNA-Gly
Rfam family: tRNA
About the family: Transfer RNA (tRNA) molecules are approximately 80 nucleotides in length. Their secondary structure includes four short double-helical elements and three loops (D, anti-codon, and T loops). Further hydrogen bonds mediate the characteristic L-shaped molecular structure. tRNAs have two regions of fundamental functional importance: the anti-codon, which is responsible for specific mRNA codon recognition, and the 3' end, to which the tRNAs corresponding amino acid is attached (by aminoacyl-tRNA synthetases). tRNAs cope with the degeneracy of the genetic code in two manners: having more than one tRNA (with a specific anti-codon) for a particular amino acid; and 'wobble' base-pairing, i.e. permitting non-standard base-pairing at the 3rd anti-codon position.
Source: RNAcentral